UACGGAGGGUGCAAGCGUUAUCCGGAUUCACUGGGCUUAAAGGGUGCGUAGGCGGGCAGGUAAGUCAGUGGUGAAAUCUUUGGGCUUAACCCGAAAACUGCCAUUGAUACUAUCUGUCUUGAAUAUUGUGGAGGUUUGCGGAAUAUGUCAUGUAGCGGUGAAAUGCUUAGAUAUGACAUAGAACACCUAUUGCGAAGGCAGCAAACUACGCAUAUAUUGACGCUGAGGCACGAAAGCGUGGGGAUCAAACAGG
This 253-nucleotide ribosomal RNA is filed under the name uncultured bacterium. RNAcentral describes it as "partial 16S ribosomal RNA". It matches the Rfam family "Bacterial small subunit ribosomal RNA", at positions 524 to 776 of the family's 1533-position model. The record is from RNAcentral.